This 498-nucleotide ribosomal RNA is filed under the name uncultured bacterium. Its description in RNAcentral is "partial 16S ribosomal RNA". It matches the Rfam family "Bacterial small subunit ribosomal RNA", at positions 28 to 507 of the family's 1533-position model. The record is from RNAcentral.
GACGAACGCUGGCGGCGUGCCUAAUACAUGCAAGUCGAACGAGAGCGACCGGUGCUUGCACUGGUCAAUCUAGUGGCGAACGGGUGAGUAACACGUGGGUAACCUGCCCAUCAGAGGGGGAUAACAUCCGGAAACGGAUGCUAAAACCGCAUAGGUCUUUGACCCGCAUGGUUUGAAGAGGAAAGGAGGCGCAAGCUUCUGCUGUUGGCUGCACCCGCGGUGCAUUAGCUAGUUGGUGAGGUAACGGCUCACCAAGGCCGCGAUCCAUAGCCGACCUGAGAGCGUGAUCGUCCACAUUGGCACUGAAACCCGGCCCAAGCUCCUACGGGAGGCAGCAGUAAGGGAGCUUCCACAAUGGACGCAAGUCUGACCGAGCAAGGACGCGUGAGUGACAAAGAUUUUCGGAUCAUAAAACGAUGUUGUUAGAGAAGAAUAAGUGCUAGCGUACCUAUUAGCGCCUUGACGGAAUCUAACCAGAAAGCCACGGCUAACUACGUU